Molecule: ribosomal RNA, 252 nt
Filed under: uncultured bacterium
Lineage: Bacteria
Description: partial 16S ribosomal RNA
Rfam family: Bacterial small subunit ribosomal RNA
Source: RNAcentral
UACAGAGGGGGCAAGCGUUGUUCGGAAUUACUGGGCGUAAGGGCGCGUAGGCGGCCUGCUAAGUCGAACGUGAAAUCCCUGGGCUCAACCCAGGAACUGCGUCCGAUACUGGUUGGCUUGAAUCCGGGAGAGGGAUGCGGAAUUCCAGGUGUAGCGGUGAAAUGCGUAGAUAUCUGGAGGAACACCGGUGGCGAAGGCGGCAUCCUGGACCGGCAUUGACGCUGAGGCGCGAAAGCCAGGGGAGCAAACGGG